This 514-nucleotide long non-coding RNA is filed under the name Homo sapiens (human). RNAcentral's name for it is "non-protein coding lnc-HNRNPA2B1-1:1". The record is from RNAcentral. Lineage: Eukaryota; Metazoa; Chordata; Mammalia; Primates; Hominidae.
ACCGAAGGUUUAAGCUAGUGUUUCCUGCUGAGGGUUUGAAGGGAGAAGGGGGGUUGUGUUAACAGGCAGUGGAGGAUAGAUAGGGGCGUAAGGUGGCGGGAUGGGUUUACAAGCCUCAGGAGAGGGCAGUUGUGGACGAGAAUACGUGCAAGCAAUACUAGAAUUGUCCUGAGGGGGGAUGGUGUAGGAAAAGAAGUGGAUACAGCUGACUGGGAAGAUGGCGGCUGGGAAGAUGGCAACUGAGAAGACAAUGAGGAGGCUUUCGGGGUUAAAGAAGGCAGUUGAGAGGAAAAGGGUCUUGCUGUGCCACUCAGGCUAGAGUACACUGGUGUGAUCUCAGCUCACUGCAGCCUUGACCUCUGGGUUCAAGUGAUCCUCCCAUCUUGGCCUCCCAAUGUGCUGGAAUUACAGGCAGGAACCACUGAUUUACAAUCUUCUAAUAAGAGUCUUUAUCUUAAAGAUAUUUGUUUCCUGUGUUUGAGAAUUAAAAUGCUGGCUUUUUGCUGAAUAAAAA